Molecule: ribosomal RNA, 542 nt
Filed under: uncultured bacterium
Lineage: Bacteria
Description: bacterial SSU rRNA
Rfam family: Bacterial small subunit ribosomal RNA
Source: RNAcentral
UGCAUUAGCUAGUUGGUGAGGUAACGGCUCACCAAGGCCACGAUGCAUAGCCGACCUGAGAGGGUGAUCGGCCACACUGGGACUGAGACACGGCCCAGACUCCUACGGGAGGCAGCAGUAGGGAAUCUUCGGCAAUGGACGAAAGUCUGACCGAGCAACGCCGCGUGAGUGAAGAAGGUUUUCGGAUCGUAAAACUCUGUUGUUAGAGAAGAACAAGGAUGAGAGUAGAACGUUCAUCCCUUGACGGUAUCUAACCAGAAAGCCACGGCUAACUACGUGCCAGCAGCCGCGGUAAUACGUAGGUGGCAAGCGUUGUCCGGAUUUAUUGGGCGUAAAGCGAGCGCAGGCGGUUUCUUAAGUCUGAUGUGAAAGCCCCCGGCUCAACCGGGGAGGGUCAUUGGAAACUGGGAGACUUGAGUGCAGAAGAGGAGAGUGGAAUUCCAUGUGUAGCGGUGAAAUGCGUAGAUAUAUGGAGGAACACCAGUGGCGAAGGCGGCUCUCUGGUCUGUAACUGACGCUGAGGCUCGAAAGCGUGGGGAGCG